This 298-nucleotide unclassified non-coding RNA is filed under the name uncultured fungus. RNAcentral's name for it is "partial contains 5.8S ribosomal RNA, internal transcribed spacer 2, and large subunit ribosomal RNA". The stretch from base 1 to 52 matches the Rfam family "5.8S ribosomal RNA", at positions 103 to 154 of the family's 154-position model. The record is from RNAcentral. Lineage: Eukaryota; Fungi.
AACGCACCUUGCGCCCUUUGGUAUUCCGAAGGGCAUGCCUGUUUGAGUGUCAUUAAAUUCUCAACCUGAUGAUGGUUAAUUCCUUCUAUCAGGCUUGGAUCUGAGGGCUUUGUCGGACUCCUUAAACCGAGGUCGACUCCCUUUAAAUUUAUUAGCGGAUUUUGCCAUCGUGGAUACGCCUCGAUUUGAUAAUAUCUAUGUCGUCGCGCUGAAGCGGUAAUCUGCUCCUAAUCGUCUUUGGACAAACAUAACUUGACCAUUUGACCUCAAAUCAGGUAGGACUACCCGCUGAACUUAA